Cucurbita moschata (crookneck pumpkin) is the source of this 74-nucleotide non-coding RNA. The record is from the annotation of a RefSeq genome assembly. NCBI's taxonomy places the organism in Eukaryota, Viridiplantae, Streptophyta, Magnoliopsida, Cucurbitales, Cucurbitaceae.
GGUUCUGUAGCUCAGUUGGUUAGAGCAUUGGUCUUAUGAGCCGAAGGUCGUGGGUUCAAGCCCCGCUAGAACCA